Oncorhynchus tshawytscha (Chinook salmon) is the source of this 528-nucleotide long non-coding RNA. The record is from Ensembl. Lineage: Eukaryota; Metazoa; Chordata; Actinopteri; Salmoniformes; Salmonidae.
AGUUGAUGAGAUUGGUACCCUGUAGUCAUCCUAAGAGCUGGGGUGGUGGCGACAAAUUAUUUCCUGAUGUGUUCCUCAACUAAAUCCUUAACAAAAAAAACGCAUACUGUACUACUGUAGCUUCCUUAUUUAUUCUGUUAUGUGUUCUCUUAUAGACACUUGGACGUAUCACUCAGGGAUAACUGAGGCUACCUCACCUGUUGGGCAUUGAGGAAGAAGACCUCAUCCUUGUCUGAUUGGAGAGAACAUGGGCCAACUGGUCCAUUUUAUAUCUUCAGAGCACACUCAGAAAGAGAGAGGGAGUCACAUGACUCACAAAAACACUUCUAGCUUUUUGAGGACUUGGAGACAGAUUGAAAUUUACUGAUGACCAAACCACACUGGAAAGUAUACUGAGUGCAGAGCUCACUAACAACAAAGACAACAAGCUAUCUCUGCACCUCAGCAAAACAGAAGCAAUUCUGUUCGGGUCCAAAAUGAAACUAAGCAAGUCCUCAUACAUCAGGGUACAGCUAGCAGGAGAGGUAC